RNAcentral lists this ribosomal RNA (342 nucleotides) under Triticum aestivum (bread wheat). RNAcentral describes it as "partial small subunit ribosomal RNA". Lineage: Eukaryota; Viridiplantae; Streptophyta; Magnoliopsida; Poales; Poaceae. The record is from RNAcentral.
AUGAGGCAAGCUGAUCCUGAAAAGAAACGACCACACAGAUCAAAGGUUUAUUUAGGAACUCGCAAUAAGAAGGAUGAUGCUAAUGCUAAAAAUAAAGAUAGAAAUAAGCACCUAGAUCGACUGGAGAAUCUAAUAACUGAACGACCAGAGUUGGCACAAAAUUUGAAUGUAAGAGCCGCAUGGGAAGGUGAUGCCUUGCAGGAAGUGUUAGGGAAAGAAAAGAUUGGACAAGUGCAUGGCAUGGGUUUGCUUCCAACUCCUAAGCAAGUCUACGGUCGGACGCCACGGUAUCUGCUACCUCUUGAGCACUGCAUUGGUUUUCCCUCGAAGAGGAAAGGGUGA